This 305-nucleotide ribosomal RNA is filed under the name uncultured bacterium. RNAcentral describes it as "partial 16S ribosomal RNA". It matches the Rfam family "Bacterial small subunit ribosomal RNA", at positions 508 to 809 of the family's 1533-position model. The record is from RNAcentral.
ACAGCAGCCGCCGCGGGAAUACGUAGGUGGCAAGCGUUGUCCGGAAUUAUUGGGCGUAAAGGGCUCGCAGGCGGUUUCUUAAGCCUGAUGUGAAAGCCCCCGGCUCAACCGGGGAGGGUCAUUGGAAACUGGGAAACUUGAGUGCAGAAGAGGAGAGUGGAAUUCCACGUGUAGCGGUGAAAUGCGUAGAGAUGUGGAGGAACACCAGUGGCGAAGGCGACUCUCUGGUCUGUAACUGACGCUGAGGAGCGAAAGCGUGGGGAGCGAACAGGAUUAGAUACCCGUGUAGUCCCUGUCUCUUAUAA